UGGGAGCUGUAGUUCCGCCGGGCCCCGCGCCGCGUCCCCGGCUCUGAGUGGAGGAGCGGAAAGGGAGCGUGCGCGGAGUCACGCUUCUGGCUGCGACGCAACCGCCGCUGGGCGGUGAGUUGCCGCCAACCGCCCUAACGGCCGAAACAAUGUUAAUGGCUUUUAGAGUCUGGCGGCGCGUUCCCAUUAGCAUCUUCCUAUGACCCUUCCUCGUUUACACGGAGGAGGUGGUCUCCACAGUGACUUUUAAAUUUAAUAUUUCUCUCAUAACCUUUUUCAGUUUUCCACAAUAUUUGGGAAGAUUUACAAGGUAUACUUCAUUUAGGCAAAAAUAACUUAGGGAAUAGUCAUUGUCAAGAGCAAUUUGUAUUGCAACCCACAAGAUAUACUUCUAUGUCAGUCCAGAAAUCCUUCAAUUUACUAAGAGAUUAUGUUUGAAAAGCUUAGAAAAAAAUAAACAAUUCUGAAAAACGAAGUAGACUGCUGGUGAUUACAGUGGGUACCACACAGAUUAUCACUUAGUGGUUCCAUAUGCUCCAUCCCAUUCCAGUGAUGUUCCAAUUUUUGCCUUCACAGCUGAGGAUAAGGAUUUGGAAAUACUUGGUAAAUCAAGAGACAUCUUAGAACCGGUACCACUUGGAGGCCAUGAUGAAAAAUAAGGAUCUUCCACUAAAGGAAAUUUUUAGUGCAGCCCUAUGCACAUCUGAUGCUCUCAAUUUAGUUGUGACAAUGGAUAAAUCCUGCAACAAAUCUGACAUCCCUUGACCAAAAGCAAUUCUAAUACAGCAUUGUAGACCAGUUCAUAUUGUUCCUGAAGAGCAUCACAACCCAGAACAAAUGAAAACAAAAAGAAAAAAAAUGGUGAACUGCAGGACCAGAUUUUAGGAAUUUGAACACCAAUCAAAUCCUAAUAUAGCAGACCCAAAAGGACAAUCAGCAUGUUAUUAAACUUACUAACAAUGCCUUAUGCUUGCAUAGUUCACUUCAGAUUUCAAAGCACUUUUAUGCUGCUGAAAAUAGCUAUUUGAUACACCUGUAACUAAUGUACAAGAAUCUUAUGACUUGUUUCUUUUAUGUUCUAACCCUACUUUCUUAUCUUUCUCUCCAUCAUUCCUCUAAUUCUGUUUCCUUUGCUCAUAUUUUAAAAAAAAUGUAUUUCAUUCUA
Molecule: non-coding RNA, 1165 nt
Organism: Macaca mulatta (Rhesus monkey)
Lineage: Eukaryota; Metazoa; Chordata; Mammalia; Primates; Cercopithecidae
Source: RefSeq, a predicted model, not a curated record